GAUGAACGCUAGCGGCAGGCUUAAUACAUGCAAGUCGAGGGGUAUAAAGUAGCUUGCUAUUUUAGAGACCGGCAAACGGGUGCGGAACACGUACACAAUCUAACCUUAUCUGGGGGAUAGCCCAUAGAAAUGUGGAUUAAUACCCCAUAGUAUUACGGAGUGGCAUCAUUUUGUAAUUAAAGAAUUUCGGAUAAGGAUGAGUGUGCGUCUGAUUAGGUAGUUGGCGGGUAACGGCCCACCAAGCCGACGAUCAGUAGCUGAUGUGAGAGCAUGAUCAGCCACACGGGCACUGAGACACGGGCCCGACUCUACGGGAGGCAGCAGUAAAGGAAUAUUGGUCAAUGGACGGAA
RNAcentral lists this ribosomal RNA (351 nucleotides) under uncultured bacterium. RNAcentral's name for it is "bacterial SSU rRNA". It matches the Rfam family "Bacterial small subunit ribosomal RNA", at positions 28 to 380 of the family's 1533-position model. The record is from RNAcentral.